This 107-nucleotide small nuclear RNA is filed under the name Chinchilla lanigera (long-tailed chinchilla). The record is from RNAcentral. Lineage: Eukaryota; Metazoa; Chordata; Mammalia; Rodentia; Chinchillidae.
GUGCUUGCUUCAGCAGCACAUAUACUAAAACUGGAAUGAUAUAGAGAAGAUUGGCAUGGACCCUGCACAAAGAUGACACAUAAAUUCAUGAAGCAUUCCAUAUUUGU